CGCCCGGGAGUAAAAUCCGCCGUAGUCGGAGGCGCUGCCGUAGAGCGAGUCCCCGUGGAGGCUGGGGAAGACGACGGGCGCGGCGCUCGGGGGCAGCAGCACCGAGUCCUUGCAGCGAGAUUCAGACAGGUAUCACCUUUUAUUUUUAAAACAAGCCAAGAGACGCAAACGUUAAAGACCAGUGCCAUCUCAAAUCCCCGGGCGUGAAUACUUCGUCUGUCACGACUGUCCCUGGGAAUCCACAGGAGGUGAACUGAAUAAGAUUAGACUAUUUACCCCAUCAACUCUCCAUCAAAGAAGUCUGAGUCGUUUUGCCGUGGAACCCCCGGUUUUGAUACCCGCUUCGCAAAACCUGCCCUCGGAGUUUCUCAUUUCCCAUGCGCUCUUCGCUAGCCUGGCAAACGGAAAAUUGUGUUAAACAAACAAUCAGUUG
Molecule: long non-coding RNA, 433 nt
Organism: Motacilla alba alba
Lineage: Eukaryota; Metazoa; Chordata; Aves; Passeriformes; Motacillidae
Exons: 4
Source: RefSeq, a predicted model, not a curated record